UCAUAUGGAACAGUUAGU
Molecule: small nuclear RNA, 18 nt
Filed under: Arabidopsis thaliana (thale cress)
Lineage: Eukaryota; Viridiplantae; Streptophyta; Magnoliopsida; Brassicales; Brassicaceae
Description: snRNA_12617
Source: RNAcentral